This 8010-nucleotide long non-coding RNA is filed under the name Sus scrofa (pig). RNAcentral describes it as "lncRNA (ENSSSCG00050039988.1)". The record is from RNAcentral. Lineage: Eukaryota; Metazoa; Chordata; Mammalia; Artiodactyla; Suidae.
GCCUUGCUGGGUGGCAGUACAAUAGAAAGAGUACAGACCACAAGAAAUUCAUCUCCACCUGAAAAAGGGACUGGAAUAGAGUGUGCAGAUUCAUAAUUGAAAACAAGAGCAAAUGAAGCCUUAGUGGGGGAUAUUACAGGCUAUUAAUCAUAAUAAAUACGUUUGGCAAUGUUAGGUUUGCAUUCUAUAGUUUUCAGUUAAAAAAAAUCAAAGUCGGUGAUUAGAAGAGGAAAUAGUUCUUUGGCUUGUGAGAGGCUGGGCUGUGCUUGUUCAUUAGUUCAAACCGCAUUAAAAGUGAGCAGUUUGUUCCAGAAUGAAGUAUGUCGUUCCCAAGCAGAUUUGAAUACAUCCACGUCCAAAUGCAAUCUCGGGUUCAUGCCACAAUUGCUUGGCUUUUUCUGAACAUCUCAGCUUCAGCACGGAAACUCAAGUGCUAAGAAUUUUAUUUUACGUUGUUACGCUGCUCACCCAUUGCUGCUGGCAUCUUGGCUGUGGAUCACUACUGUGCCUACACUGCAGCCCCAUCAAGGUGAAGCUCCUUGGAAAAUAGAAACCCAGUGCAUUUUAACCAAAAGGAGCUUGAACAGCCUCAAAGUUUGUAGCUGAGAAAGCUGCUAAUUAUGCUUGUCGUAAAACAUAUCUGAGUGGAAGGGUUUGAGUCCAAACAGAAUGGAGGGCUACUUUAGAAAUAUAACUGUAGUCCGUGCUUGUAAAGAGGUUUAUUUUUACUUUGGGGCCACGGAGGGGGUGAUUGGAAUUAGUAGCCUUUAAUUAGACGGGGAGAUAUUCAAAUUUUACAGGGAUUUAUGUUAGAACAUGGAAUGGCGGUGGCUCUUUCCUCAUUAUGAAUCCUCCCUGCACAUAAUGAGGUUCAUCAUUAGUUGAUGGAGUGAAUUUGCCCUAGCUCUACCUUGAAAGGCACAUAAUUUACAUACUACUUCAGAGCCUAAGCUUUAAUGGAUUCCUCGAUGAAUAAAAUGAAAAGCUACUUUCUUUAAAUUUUUGAACACUGUUUAGAUAAUACGAUUUUAAUAAGACAUUCAAUUUGCUUGUUAAGUAUAUUUGAAAGUGCUUUUUUUUUUUUUUUUCUUUUUGGGAAAAACAUAUUUUGGCUUGCCUUGCUGUAUAUCACAGUGGAUGGUUCCCCUCACAGAUAAAUGGGAGAACAUAUGGGGUAUGUCGUUAAGAAAUGGGGAGAAUCUUAGGCAGAGAGCUUUUUCAGCACGUGAGCCUCAAGAAUAUUAUUUUUGUGUAGAAACUCUUCUGACAUGAACCGAUGAUAACAAAAAGGUUUGAAAACAAGCUUCUUAUUUGUAUAUGGUUUUGCAUAUCUAAAACGUGCGUGCCUCUUCGUUCCAGCCCAUGCUGACAGAAUCGCUCGCUGCACCUUCUGAUUUAUUUUAAUGAUGAAAGAGCAGAAACUUCCCUGGUGCAGCUGCCAGUUUGAAACAGCAGCCGUGUAGCCAUGGUCCGAUGAGGGGGUGUGGAAUUUGGAGGCUGUCUCCUGGGUUAUCAGGGCAUCAACUUGGGAGCGUUCUGGUCUACCCCGUACAUUCAGCAAGUUUUCUGGCUCUCUCACUCCUCCGUCUCUUGAUUGGAAUGCGGAGAAAAUCAGCUUUGACUCGGCAUGAUUUGAACACGGAUGUCUUUUCAAUAAAGGGGCGGGGGUGGGUUUGGUAAUAGCCUGUUAUUGAACAUGUCCUUUACUGGUUUGAGACAGGUCGCCCCUACGUUGUUAUCAUUACUGCAAGUGGAAACAGGUUUCUGGUGGUUUGUCACAUUCAGGAACAGGAGAGGUGUCUGAAUAUAAGCGAAACCUUGUUUUGAUAGAAUGCUUUAUUACCUGAAAAUGAUCAGCAUAUAUUAACAUUAAUAGAAUAGUCCAUGUCAUUCUUUUUUAGGUAAUUUACCUCUGCUACAGACCUGUCUACAGAGGGGGGGGAAUCUUCCUCUCUUCUAAAACAUAUAUUUGUUUAGAGAGUUUUCACUGAAGUGUACAUGACAAUUACAGCUGUUCAUUAACAAAAUUGGGUAUUUGUUUUAAACUUUAACCAAUCACUUUGAUAUGCUAAUUAUGGUGUAAUUUAAUUUGAGCCCUGUAAUGAUGAUGCCGUUAUUAUGGACAUAAAUGAUGCAGUUAAGCUGAGAGUAAUCUCAUUUGCAUACUGUACAUGCCAGUAAAUUAAGCCCUUUCUUCGACUGCUUCAGCUUUAAUUUUCCACUUCUUUUCACACAGCUCCUUUUCAGCCCCUCUCUUAUAAGCCCACUUUGUAAUAGUCCUGAUGACUGUUUGAUGUGAAGAGUUUCUGCACCACAAUAAUGCAGGACAGAAGAUGUAACAUUUAAAGGAUUCAUUAUCUUGCUGAGUGUUCCUUUAAGAAGGAAGGAUUAGAGAGGGUGAGGGGAGACGAUGUGUCCUUUCCCUGGGAUCUGACAGCCCCCCGUUAAAGUAAUUGGAGAUGCCGAAUGCUCUCCACUCACCCCACAAGUCAGACGUGGGACCCGUUAUUUAUAAAUGAUUUUUUUGUCUUUCUCCACCAUACUGUAGUUUACUGUCACAAAUCAUGUUGCAUUCAGCAGCAGAGCCUGUGGCCACUGCCCUCUGUGAAGCUGGAAGCCCGCAGGGUGGCUUUCCAGAGCCUGGGUGACCCGGUGAGGGAUCCAGAGAUCCAUCUGAAGCCGAGAAUGCCAAGGGCAUAGCUAAAGUCUCCUGAGCGCUGAACGGGUUCUCCCGGGGCUCGCGCUGAAGCCACUGGGAGUUGAGUGGGUGUAACGGAGGACUGAAUUUAGCUCUGGCUUUUUAAAAGGGUCAGAGGCCUAAAAAUAGUUCAAGCCGCUUAACUCCUGCAGGCUACUUCCUUCACAGAUGGGAGAGUAGAAAAAAAGAGUCAUAGGCUGUGUCCAUCCUCCUUUCUUGGAACUAAAAGCCUUGCCCUUCCUUUCAAAGGGUUUUCCAGUCCUAUACCCCUGGCCCCAGACUUCUGUUAUUUGAUGUCUAUCGCUUCCCCUAAGCCAUCCUCCAUCUAGUAUCCUGGCAGGCAGGUUUGGUCAUGGUCAGGCACACACAGGGCUUCCUCGUUCUGGAGGCGGUGACAGUAGGGAAUGUCUGCCUCCCUUUGGAAAUCUUGAUGCAGGUGAACAACUGCUUUCCCAGUUUGUUGUUUGUUUGUUUGUUUGUUUGUUUAAGGGGGCCGCACCCACAGCAUAUGGAAGUUCUAGGCUAGGGGUUGAAUCAGAGCUGCAGCUGCCGGCCUGCACCACAGACACAGCAACACCAGAUCUUUCACCCACUGAGCGAGGUCAGGAAUCGAACCUGCAUCCUCAUGGGUACUAGUCAGGUUCGUUUCCACUGCACCACAAUGGAAACUCCCCCAGCUGUUUUUGAAUUAAGCAGAUGCUGACACAUUGUCAAUAAGAUGUCAGGCUGUUUAUUUCAGAACACUUGAAACUUAAGGAAAAGUGUAAACCUUUAAGGGCUUUUUCCUCCCCUUCCUCCCCUUUAUGUAAUUUGAGAAUUACCAUAGGAUGCAAAGAUGUGGAAAAAGCUUGUAAACAUACUUAUGUGUGGCUCUUGUUCUAUAUGCAGUAUUUUAUUUUGCCAAAAUGGGGAAGUUUUUUUGUUUACAGUAUAAUAUAGGGAGAUGGAGGAAGAAGAAAUGAUUUUGUGUAAUACUGUAAAACAUACUCAUUUUUAUUAAAUAAUAGAAACUAGACUUUUUUCUGUUCACACCAAGCCCCUAACCCAGCAGACAUGCACAUGGUGAAUUUUGCUGUUUCUAGAAAGGUGAGCAAACAAAGGAUGAACAGUACCACAGAAAAAUAAGCUCCUUGAAGGUCAGGGAUAUUUAUCUGAAUUUCCAGCACUUGGAAUGGUGCCUUGCACAUAGUAGGUGUUCAAGAUGUAGUUCCUGAUUGAAUCAGUGUGCUUGUUAUGCCUAUAGGCUCAUGAGCAUCAAAUGAGAAAAUGAGAAAGAACAUGCUCUCUAAAAUAAAGCCUUUAAAUAUGCAUGAUGAGUUCCCUGGUGGCUCAGUUGGUUAAGGGUCCAGCUUUGGCACUGCUGUGGCUCAGAUUGCCUGCUGUGACACAGCUUUGAUUGCUGGCUCUGGGAACGUCCACAUACCUCAGGUGCAGCCAGAAAAAAAAAAAAAUGCGUGAUGGUAGUUAGAUGGUAAACUGGCAAACCUCAUCAUGCCACAUCCUUCCUCUGAUCACUUCUCCAUGUAAGAGCUGGUCACAGGUAUUUGCCGUUAGGCAGGAGUAAUCAUAAAUAGAAAGCACCUCAGCCCACAAUAUUGAUGCAUUUCUGUAAUGAUCAUAACAACUAGAGGCACUAUUAGCCUCACCUUUUUAUUUUUUACCUUAAAUUUUUAAAAAAAUUGACAUGUAGUUGAUUUACACCACUGUAUUCAUUUUAAGCAAAGUGAUUCAACUAUCCACAUAUGUGUAUAUGUGUAUAUUCUUUUUUUUUCCCCAGGGCCACACCCACAGCAUGUGGAGGUUCCCAGGCUAGGGGCUGAAUCAGAGCUGCAGCUGCCGGCCUACACCACAGCAACAGCAACACCGGAUCCAAGCCGUGACUGCAGCCUAUACCACAGCUCAUGACCAUGCCAGAUCCUUAACCUACCAAGCGAGGCCAGGGAUCAAACUUGCAUCCUAGUCAGAUUUGUUUCUGCUGCGCCACAGCGGGAACCCCCUUUAUAUUAUUUUUUUUUAUUCUUUUCCAUUAUAGUUUAUUGUAAGAUGCUGAAUAUAGUUCCUGGUGUUAUACAGUAAAUCCUUGUUGUUUACCUAUUUUAUAUUUAGUGGUGUGUGUCUUUUAAUCCCAUCCUCCCACUUUAUCCCUCCCUCACCACCUGCACUUUCCUUUUGGUAACUGUAAGUUUGUUUCCUGUGUCUGUGAAUCCAUUUCUGUUUUGUAAAUAAGUCCAUUUGUACUCUUUUUUUUAAAGAUUCUACAUAUAAGUGAUAUAAUGGUCUUUCUUUGACUUUGGCUUCACUUACUAUGAUAAUCUUUGUCCAUCCAUGUUGCUGCAAAUGAUAAUAUUUCAUUCUUUUUUAUGGCUGAGUAAUAUUCCACUGUAUAUCUGUACCACAUCUUCUUUAUCCAGUUCUCUGUCCCGGGACACUUAGGUUACGUUCAUGGCUUGGCUGUUGUAAAUAGCCAUGCCCUGAACUUUGGGGUGCAUGUAUCUUUUCAAUUUAGCAUUUUCAUCUUUUCUGAAUCUACGCCCAGGAGUAGGUUUGCUGGACCAUAUGGCAACUCUGUUUUUAGUUUUUUUAAGGAAUCUCCAUACUGUUUUCCACAGUGGCUGCACCAAUUUACAUUCCCACCAACAGUAUACAAGGGUUCCCUUUUCUCCACAUCCUCUCCAGCAUGCAUUUGCAAUAUUAGUCUCAUCUUUUAGAUGUGGACACUGUGAUGCAAAUGAAGCCUCAGGUCCCCAGCUGUAGGGCUGGAACCACGAUGUGUCCUCCUUCAGGAAAACUCCAGGGUCCUCACUCCUGGCCACUGCACUUCAGCCUUGGUUUUCACUGUAGACAGUGGAGUAAAAUAGAGUGUUACUGUGGAGUGUGCAGAAGUGUAUAUAAGUAUAUGGAUACACUGCUCCACUGUAUCUCAGGUGUGUUUUGUGUGUACAUUUCCUGCACCACUGCAGCUAAGCUCUUCACAUUGCAUUUUCAUUGCUGCCCAGCAAGGUAACUAUUAUUUGUCACUACUUACUGAUGAGGAAACCGACAUUCCCUCAGAUUAAAUAACUUGCUCACAUGGGUAGGAAGUGACCAAAUGGGCUUUGAUCCCAAGCCCCUCUGCCUCUAGUGCCCUUGCUCACUCAAUCACCACUGCAUGCUUCUCGCUAAGCUCUAUACCUUGAGAGCAGUUUGUGCUCCCGAGAGUGUUAACUUAUUUUUGAGAGUUUGUGGUAUUUAAGGCCUUUGUUAUUUAUCUUGCAUGUAGGGGAUCUAGACUUUAAAUACGUGCUCUGAAUAACUGAGAUGUCUCCUAAUUUCCCAUGGUGCGAUGUCAAUUCCUGGCAGGAAGCCAACUUCUCUUCACACCUCCUGCCACCCCCUUAUCCCGCCCCAAACUUACAAACUAGACUGUUGUUAAAUUCUUUCCAAGAAGGCAAGUGCUGUGCUGCUUCCUUCCCUGUGAUUGAAGUUUUGUUUUUUUUUUUUUGCUUUUAUCUUGACAGGUGACAGAGUGACUAUCAGCUGUAGAAUUUAUAGAUCUCUGGGUCUGUAGAUGUUUGCACGUGUCCCCGUGACAUGGACGUGGACAUCGCAGAGUCUUACUUAUCUGUAUUGUAGGCCCCAUGUCUAGGAAGCAGUGGGACCAUGUCAAGGAAACACCACACUUGCUUAGUCUCAAAGUCCUUUCCCAGCUCAGUCCCUCUGCCCCCAUCUCUCAGCAGUCCCACUUCAGCAUCUAAAGUGAAAGUGAAAUGGACAGUAUCCCUCUCCCUUAUAUCCAGAAUCUCUCCCAGAAUCUUGCAAUGCUCAUUGCCUACAGGUCCAGUAUGGGAGCCACUAGCCAGAAGGGGCUGCUGAGCCUUUAAAGUGUAGCUAGUCCAAAUCUACGUGCCAUCUGUAUAAAGUACACACUGGAGUUCAAAGACUUGGGUUUAUAUUCUUUUUUUUUUUUAACUAUCUCAUUAACCUUUAUAUUGAUUGUAUGUUGCAAUUAAAAUAUUUUGGCUCUGUUAAGUUAAAAGAAAUAUAUUUUUAUGAGACUGAUGUGCUACCUACUGCACCAACAAGGCACCUGAAGAGAAAUAUACUUUUAAAAGUAAUCCCUACUGUUUCUCUUUGUUGUUUUUCUUCUAUGUAUUUAUUUUUCAUUUUUUGGCCACGCCUGGGGCAUACAGAAGUUCCCUGGCCAGGGAUCAAGUCCGAGCCUCAGCUGUGACCUAUGCCACAGCUGUGUCAAUGCCAGAUCCUCAACCCUCUGUGCCAGAGUAGAAACUCAAAGUUUUACAUGUUGCUGGAAGAUAUUUUAAGAUUGCGUAUGUGGCUCGCCUUAUGUUUCUGCAAGACUGUACAGUUGAGUAUAUACAUACUUGAUCUCUGUACAUGAUAACUAGUAGACCAGGUGUGGUAGCCCAGGAUAGAGAGCUGGUGAGCAUGCUCCAUGGAGGCCCUGGCCUGCAUCAGUGACUCAGGAUAUACUUGGGGGUAUAGCCCCAGAGAGCAAUAUUUCUUCCUGGAGGACACUAAAGAAAUACUCCCUUUGGGUAUUUCAAUACUAUAGCCUUCCUAAUCACAUUGGACAUAUACCACUUACCACACUAUUUCAAAAACUUGGACUUGCCAAGUGUUUCUAUAUCCAGCUGGUGCCUUUGAAGCCAGUAUAUCUUGGCUCCUCUAUUCUAAUGAUUCCAUUAGCAUAGGUCAUCAGAGAGGAGAGGAUGGGGUUCUGUGAAUGUUCUAGAUGACGGUCUUUGCAGGGCUUGGAUAACCUGGAACUGGAACUGGUACACUAGUGUAGACCCCUAUUGGGGCAUGUCUGUGAUUUUCUUCUUAGAUGCAUUUGUUUCUGUGGUGCUCUCAGAUAGUCUUCACCUAGCACAGGUAUCUCUUGCCUUAAGUAAACUUUAAUUGAUAAAAACUAUAUGAAUGUACAUUAUUCAACAAGUAUUGAUUAGGAAGCUAUCUCAUUAGUCAUGGUAGGCUCCUUGCCUUCAGAGAGCUCAUUCUGUAUGUAGAUAAAUAAGAAAUGUCAUAGAUAACUCCAGCUUAAACCAUGAAAAUUUAGAGUUCCCCUUGUGCUAAGUGGGUUAGGAACCCAACACAGUGUCCCUGAGGACCUGGGUUCAAUCCUGGCCUCACUCAGUGGGUUAUGGAUCUAGAGUUGCUGCAAGCUGUGGCGUAGGUCACAGAUGCUGCUUGGAUCCUGCGUAGCAUAGGCCCGCAGCUGCAGCUCCAAUUCAACCCCUGAACCGGGAACUUGCACAUGCCACAAGUGUGGCUCUAGACAGAAAGAAAAAAAAAAAAAAAAAAAAAAAAAAAAA